This 73-nucleotide transfer RNA is filed under the name Ictidomys tridecemlineatus (thirteen-lined ground squirrel). RNAcentral's name for it is "Spermophilus tridecemlineatus (thirteen-lined ground squirrel) tRNA". It matches the Rfam family "tRNA". From Rfam's summary of the family: Transfer RNA (tRNA) molecules are approximately 80 nucleotides in length. Their secondary structure includes four short double-helical elements and three loops (D, anti-codon, and T loops). Further hydrogen bonds mediate the characteristic L-shaped molecular structure. tRNAs have two regions of fundamental functional importance: the anti-codon, which is responsible for specific mRNA codon recognition, and the 3' end, to which the tRNAs corresponding amino acid is attached (by aminoacyl-tRNA synthetases). tRNAs cope with the degeneracy of the genetic code in two manners: having more than one tRNA (with a specific anti-codon) for a particular amino acid; and 'wobble' base-pairing, i.e. permitting non-standard base-pairing at the 3rd anti-codon position. The record is from Rfam by way of RNAcentral. Lineage: Eukaryota; Metazoa; Chordata; Mammalia; Rodentia; Sciuridae.
GGGGAUAUAGUUCAAUUGGUAGAGUGCUUGCCUAGCAUGCACAAAGAACUGGGUUCAACCCCCAGCACCACCA